Molecule: non-coding RNA, 656 nt
Organism: Nicotiana tabacum (common tobacco)
Lineage: Eukaryota; Viridiplantae; Streptophyta; Magnoliopsida; Solanales; Solanaceae
Source: RefSeq, a predicted model, not a curated record
CAUAGAAAUAUGAAUUUCCCCCAAUUUCCAUACUAUCCAUCUAACAAAUAGAAAAUAGUAGUAUACAGCAACUAUUCGCAGCAACGGCGGCAAUUAGAGAGGUAAACCAACAGAGAAUUGAUUUCCUCGGCGACUCCGUCCAACAGCCAGAAAAUGAGCAACGACCGGCAGAGAAUCGACCAACAAAAAUCAUAGUUCAGAACUGCUCAAUGAAAAUCAUAGUUCAGGUUUAAACUUUACACCCAAGGGUGUAGUUUACUGGUCAUGAAGUGGAUUGAAAACCAUGAGCUUCAGGUUCAAAUCCUAGGGGAGGCAAAAAUACUACUUUACUAGGUGAUUUCUUUCCAUAUGUCCAAGCCUUGGUGGACAGGGUUACUUGAUACAUGUUGUUGGUAAGAGGUAGCAGUAUCCCGUGCAAUUAGUCGAGUUGCGUGCAAGCCGACUCGGACACCACUAUUAUCCAUUUUUUUAAACUUUGAAAUAUAAUAUUAUAAGUAUGAUUUUAAGAAACUAAAAUGUUUUGUAUUGUUUCCUAGAACAUAUUGAUUUCCAUAUCCCUUUAAUGUGCCAUGUGAAUAUUUAGUCAAUGUGGACUAGUCGUGGCAAGUAGGAAUUUUAUUAAAGCUUGUUUUGUAACAACAGAGGCUGGAUUUUAA